GACGAACGCUGGCGGCGUGCUUAACACAUGCAAGUCGAACGGAAAGGCCCUGCUUUUGUGGGGUGCUCGAGUGGCGAACGGGUGAGUAACACGUGAGUAACCUGCCCUUGACUUUGGGAUAACUUCAGGAAACUGGGGCUAAUACCGGAUAGGAGCUCCUGCUGCAUGGUGGGGGUUGGAAAGUUUCGGCGGUUGGGGAUGGACUGGCGGCUUAUCAGCUUGUUGGUGGGGUAGUGGCUUACCAAGGCUUUGAAGGGUAGCCGGCCUGAGAGGGUGACCGGCCACAUUGGGACUGAGAUACGGCCCAGACUCCAACGGGAGGCAGCAGCGGGGAAUAUUGCACAGUGAGCGGAAGCCUGAUGCAGCAACGCCGCGUGCGGGAUGACGGCCUUCGGGUUAAAAACCGCUUUCGCCUGUGACGAAGCGUGAGUGACGGUAAUGGGUAAAGAAGCACCGGCUAACUACGUG
RNAcentral lists this ribosomal RNA (468 nucleotides) under uncultured bacterium. RNAcentral's name for it is "partial 16S ribosomal RNA". It matches the Rfam family "Bacterial small subunit ribosomal RNA", at positions 28 to 507 of the family's 1533-position model. The record is from RNAcentral.